AGUGCCACCGGAUCGACGCCGCGGGUGACAAGGAGAUAGUCGCGGAUCGCAAUGGCGUGACGGCCCUC
RNAcentral lists this small RNA (68 nucleotides) under Mycolicibacterium moriokaense. RNAcentral describes it as "ASdes TB sRNA". It matches the Rfam family "ASdes TB sRNA". Lineage: Bacteria; Bacillati; Actinomycetota; Actinomycetes; Mycobacteriales; Mycobacteriaceae. The record is from RNAcentral.